AUACAUAUGUCCCGAGUGUUACCCGGAAUAAUUGGGUGUAAAGGGUUCGUAGGCGGAUAAGAAAGUUGGACAUGAAAGACCAAGGCUCAACCUUGUGUUUGUAUCCAAAACUCCUUAUCUAGAAUUAGGGAGAGGUAAGCGGAAUUCUAAGUGUAGGGGUGCAAUCCGUAGAUACUUAGAGGAACACCGAAAGCGAAGGCAGCUUACUGGAACUAUAUUGACGCUGAGGAACGAAAGCGUGGGGAGCGAAAAGGAUUAGAUACCCCGGUAGUCC
This 274-nucleotide ribosomal RNA is filed under the name uncultured bacterium. RNAcentral's name for it is "partial 16S ribosomal RNA". It matches the Rfam family "Bacterial small subunit ribosomal RNA", at positions 523 to 796 of the family's 1533-position model. The record is from RNAcentral.